RNAcentral lists this ribosomal RNA (424 nucleotides) under uncultured bacterium. RNAcentral describes it as "bacterial SSU rRNA". It matches the Rfam family "Bacterial small subunit ribosomal RNA", at positions 359 to 775 of the family's 1533-position model. The record is from RNAcentral.
GAAUCUUCCGCAAUGGGGGCAACCCUGACGGAGCGACGCCGCGUGGGCGAAGAAGGCCGAAAGGUUGUAAAGCCCUUUUCUGGACGAAGAAUAAGCGGGUGAGGAAAUGCGCCCGCGAUGACGUUAGUCCAGGAAUAAGCCCCGGCCAAUUACGUGCCAGCAGCCGCGGUAAUACGUAAGGGGCAAGCGUUGUUCGGAAUUAUUGGGCGUAAAGGGCGUGUAGGCGGAACGGUACGUCUGGUGUUAAAGAUCCCGGCCCAACCGGGGGAGAGCGCUGGAAACUGCCGAUCUUGAGUCCAGGAGGGGGAGCUGGAAUUCCAGGUGUAGGGGUGAAAUCUGUAGAUAUCUGGAAGAACACCGGUGGCGAAGGCGAGCUCCUGGCCUGAGACUGACGCUGAGGCGCGAAAGCGUGGGGAGCGAACAG